Molecule: long non-coding RNA, 349 nt
Filed under: Mytilus galloprovincialis (Mediterranean mussel)
Lineage: Eukaryota; Metazoa; Mollusca; Bivalvia; Mytilida; Mytilidae
Source: RNAcentral
UGUUGCUUGUGGUAGCAUGUGUCACCUUGAGCAAGAGUACCAAAAUAGGAUUCAGAUAUACAAGUAAUCAAAUAUUAAAUUUCAUUUGUUGGUUUGUUCAUUUUAUCCAUUAUCCAUCUAAUUUUAAUAAUUUAACAAUUUGCGUAAAAUUUAAAAUAAAGAUUGUCAUAAAUGUUUGUUUAAAGGAGUAGGUUCAGUAAGACCCCUUUUUGGCCCCAAAAUAUAGCAGUUUACAAAAAUUGUUAAAAUGUAAACUUUUAGUUAUUUGAUGGACAGAAGAAUACUUCUGCUACAUCAAUAUGGGCUGUUUUUGACAAUACAAUGCACAUAUAUAGGGUACUAGCACCAU